UCAUCAUUUUAUCGAACAGGUACCGAUUCCGUUCGUAAAGACGGUCUCGGUUUAAAAGGGAAGCCGGUGCAAGUCCGGCACGGUCCCGCCACUGUAAGCGAGAAGCUUUUCUGCUUGAAUGACGCCACUGUCGAAUGAUGGGAAGGCUGCGGAAAAGCGUUGAGACGCAAGUCAGGAGACCUGCCUGUUCUGUUGAGGCCGU
This 202-nucleotide non-coding RNA is filed under the name Paenibacillus naphthalenovorans. The record is from RNAcentral. Lineage: Bacteria; Bacillati; Bacillota; Bacilli; Caryophanales; Paenibacillaceae.